Molecule: ribosomal RNA, 2629 nt
Filed under: Telluria aromaticivorans
Lineage: Bacteria; Pseudomonadati; Pseudomonadota; Betaproteobacteria; Burkholderiales; Oxalobacteraceae
Description: 23S ribosomal RNA
Rfam family: Bacterial large subunit ribosomal RNA
Source: RNAcentral
GUUAUAGGGACAAGCGAAUAAGUGCACAUGGUGGAUGCCUUGGCGAUUACAGGCGAUGAAGGACGUAGUAGCUUGCGAUAAGCUGCGGGGAGUGAGCAAACACACUUUGAUCCGCAGAUUUCCGAAUGGGGAAACCCGGCCUUUAUGGUCAUUGCAUACUGAAUACAUAGGUAUGCAAAGCGAACGCGGCGAACUGAAACAUCUAAGUAGCUGCAGGAAAAGAAAUCAACCGAGAUUCCCAAAGUAGUGGCGAGCGAAAUGGGAUGAGCCUGUACGUGAUAGUCGAUUGGAUAGUGGAAGCCUUUGGAAACAGGCGCCAUAGAGGGUGAUAGCCCCUUACACGAAAUUCAAACGGUGAUACUAAGCGUACGACAAGUAGGGCGGGACACGAGAAAUCCUGUCUGAACAUGGGGGGACCAUCCUCCAAGGCUAAAUACUCGUAAUCGACCGAUAGUGAACCAGUACCGUGAGGGAAAGGCGAAAAGAACCCCGGGAGGGGAGUGAAAUAGAUCCUGAAACCGUGUGCAUACAAACAGUAGGAGCGGACUUGUUCCGUGACUGCGUACCUUUUGUAUAAUGGGUCAGCGACUUACAUUCAGUGGCGAGGUUAACCGAAUAGGGGAGCCGUAGAGAAAUCGAGUCCGAACAGGGCGACAGUCGCUGGGUGUAGACCCGAAACCAAGUGAUCUACCCAUGGCCAGGAUGAAGGUGCGGUAACACGCCCUGGAGGUCCGAACCCACUAAUGUUGAAAAAUUAGGGGAUGAGCUGUGGGUAGGGGUGAAAGGCUAAACAAACUUGGAAAUAGCUGGUUCUCUCCGAAAACUAUUUAGGUAGUGCCUCAAGUAUCACCAUCGGGGGUAGAGCACUGUUAUGGCUAGGGGCUCAUUGCGAGUUACCAAACCAUUGCAAACUCCGAAUACCGAUGAGUGCGAGCUUGGGAGACAGACGUCGGGUGCUAACGUCCGGCGUCAAGAGGGAAACAACCCAGACCGCCAGCUAAGGUCCCAAAGAUUGGCUAAGUGGAAAACGAAGUGGGAAGGCUAAAACAGUCAGGAUGUUGGCUUAGAAGCAGCCAUCAUUUAAAGAAAGCGUAAUAGCUCACUGAUCGAGUCGUCCUGCGCGGAAGAUGUAACGGGGCUAAGCCAGUCACCGAAGCUGCGGAUAUGCNNNNNNNNNNNNNNNNNNNNNNNNNNNNNNNNNNNNNNNNNNNNNNNNNNNNNNNNNNNNNNNNNNNNNNNNNNNNNNNNNNNNNNNNNNNNNNNNCUUGAAGCAAUCGGAAGUGGUUCCAAGAAAAGCCUCUAAGCUUCAGUCAUACGAGACCGUACCGCAAACCGACACAGGUGGGCGAGAUGAGUAUUCUAAGGCGCUUGAGAGAACUCGGGAGAAGGAACUCGGCAAAUUGGUACCGUAACUUCGGGAAAAGGUACGCCCUUGUAGUUUGACCACUUUACUGUGGAAGGAUGAACGGGUUGCAAUAAACUGGUGGCUGCGACUGUUUAAUAAAAACACAGCACUCUGCAAACACGAAAGUGGACGUAUAGGGUGUGACGCCUGCCCGGUGCUGGAAGAUUAAAUGAUGGGGUGCAAGCUCUUGAUUGAAGUCCCAGUAAACGGCGGCCGUAACUAUAACGGUCCUAAGGUAGCGAAAUUCCUUGUCGGGUAAGUUCCGACCUGCACGAAUGGCGUAACGAUGGCCACACUGUCUCCUCCCGAGACUCAGCGAAGUUGAAAUGUUUGUGAUGAUGCAAUCUACCCGCGGCUAGACGGAAAGACCCCAUGAACCUUUACUGUAGCUUUGCAUUGGACUUUGAACCAAUCUGUGUAGGAUAGGUGGGAGGCUUUGAAGCGGGGACGCCAGUUCUCGUGGAGCCAUCCUUGAAAUACCACCCUGGUUUGUUUGAGGUUCUAACCUUGGUCCGUUAUCCGGAUCGGGGACAGUGCAUGGUAGGCAGUUUGACUGGGGCGGUCUCCUCCUAAAGCGUAACGGAGGAGUUCGAAGGUACGCUAAUUACGGUCGGACAUCGUGAUGAUAGUGCAAUGGCAUAAGCGUGCUUAACUGCGAGACCGACAAGUCGAGCAGGUACGAAAGUAGGACAUAGUGAUCCGGUGGUUCUGUAUGGAAGGGCCAUCGCUCAACGGAUAAAAGGUACUCUGGGGAUAACAGGCUGAUUCCUCCCAAGAGUUCAUAUCGACGGGGGAGUUUGGCACCUCGAUGUCGGCUCAUCACAUCCUGGGGCUGUAGCCGGUCCCAAGGGUAUGGCUGUUCGCCAUUUAAAGUGGUACGUGAGCUGGGUUUAAAACGUCGUGAGACAGUUUGGUCCCUAUCUGCCGUGGGCGUUGGAAAUUUGAAGGGGGCUGCUCCUAGUACGAGAGGACCGGAGUGGACGAACCUCUGGUGUACCGGUUGUCACGCCAGUGGCAUUGCCGGGUAGCUAAGUUCGGAAGAGAUAACCGCUGAAAGCAUCUAAGCGGGAAACUUGCCUUGAGAUGAGAUUUCCCGGAGCCUUGAGCUCCUUGAAGGGUCGUUCGAGACCAGGACGUUGAUAGGCUGGGUGUGGAAGUGCAGUAAUGCAUUAAGCUAACCAGUACUAAUUGCCCGUACGGCUUGUCCCUAUAACCUUGGUAGGU